Molecule: unclassified non-coding RNA, 303 nt
Filed under: Hevea brasiliensis (rubber tree)
Lineage: Eukaryota; Viridiplantae; Streptophyta; Magnoliopsida; Malpighiales; Euphorbiaceae
Source: RNAcentral
GAAUUCAAAGAGAAGGGAAAUAGGAAACGAGUUUUCGGAAACACAACCAAAAUCAACUGUGCCAGAGAGAAAUUUCCAACUAAAAAAGAGGGUCUGAUUCUCGAAUUCUUUAACUAAAUCAAUCAAACGAUUCCAUGAAGCUCCGGUCUUUACUUUACAUUCAGACCUCGGUAACUCAGAGUUUCCCUAUAAAGAAUUGGAGAAGAAGUGAGGGCUUGAAUUCGGCGCUUCGAGAAAACAAAUUUUGGAAAACGAAAAAUGAUUCGAGAGGAGGGGGGAAAUUCAAUUUAAAGACACUUUAAU